UCUCUCUCUCUCUCUCUCUCUCUCUCUCUCUCUCUCUCUCUCUCUCUCUCUCUCUCUCUCUCUAUCUAUCUAUCUGUCCAUCCGAUCUCAAGCACAGAUGGAAGAAAGUGCUAAGCCAAGAACUCUCUAAGUCGAUAUGCUGAAGUGAUCAAAGACAAAAGACAUUAGGAAAGGAAGCGAACAAGAAAGACAUGAAGUGUUUGUGACGCGAAAAGGACAAAAAAAAAAGACAGUGCGUUUUCAAAUAUAGACUAGAAAUGUGAACUGCAGUGUUGUGGUGAAGUGUUGUGACCAGGAGGAGGCAGUGUUGUGGUGAGGUGUUGUGACCAGGAGGAGGCAGUGUUGUGGUGAGGUGUUGUGACCAGGAGGAGGCAGUGUUGUGGUGAGGUGUUGUGACCAGGAGAGGGUUGAAAUGCAAAGGGUUUGUUGAUGACGUGGGAGAAUAGAUAAGUUGUGAGAAGAUCAGAUAAAUUGGUACGCAAGGAUAAGAAAGAUAAGAAAAUUUGCAGACACGAAAGGAAAAUAAAGUGAAGAGGAAGAACAUUAGGAAAAAAGAGAUGAUUAAAAUUACGUGAGAGAAUAGAUAGAUAGUGAGAAGAUAAGAUACCUAACUGCAAAAGGAUAAGGAAAGUUAGACACGAAAGGGAAAUAUAGUGAAGUGAAGAGGAAGUAAAUUAAGGAAAAGAGUGUUGAGAAUAGAGAAAUUGGUUUAAAAUGAUAAGAAAACAAAUACAGUCAAGAGGAAUUUAAAGAACGUUGCAAAAAGUCAAUUGAUGGUGAGAAGACAGCUAAAUUGAUACAAAGACUAAAAAAAAAAGAAAGUUAAUGACACGAGGGGGAAAAAAAACUAUAGCAAAAAUACAAUGAAAAAACAACGAGAAAAAGUUAGAAGAUUGAAAAAAAAGCGCGGGAAAAUUAGUGAAAAGAUACUUAAACUGAUACAAGGACAAAGAAAACACAAAAACACACUGAAACGAAAGAAAACAAUGAAACAACAAGCACACAACGAAAUAAAACAAAUAAAACAACAAAACAAGACAAAACACUAAGCUUACAAGUGAAGGAGUAACACCAUUCAUUAACCAAAAGAAGACCAAAACAAAAA
Portunus trituberculatus (swimming crab) is the source of this 1105-nucleotide long non-coding RNA. RefSeq lists it as uncharacterized. The transcript has 2 exons. NCBI's taxonomy places the organism in Eukaryota, Metazoa, Arthropoda, Malacostraca, Decapoda, Portunidae. The record is from RefSeq and is a predicted model, not a curated record.